This 480-nucleotide small RNA is filed under the name Arabidopsis thaliana (thale cress). RNAcentral's name for it is "ATSL085080". Lineage: Eukaryota; Viridiplantae; Streptophyta; Magnoliopsida; Brassicales; Brassicaceae. The record is from RNAcentral.
AGAGUGGUGAUCGAGUGGUUCUGAUUGGGUGAUUCCUCUGGCUUCACGAUUUAGUAAAACUAAGCUGCUAGGUUCUCCGGGGUUGCGAUAGAGUGAUUUGCCCUAGCAGGGCUUCGAGGCUUCGAUAGAGUACUUUGGCCGAAGGCGUCAUUGGGCAUUCUGACUUUGUGCUCUGUUUCUCCUUUGUUUGAACUGCAAAAGCAUCCAAAGUACCUGAAAACAACCAAAUAUGCAAUGCACAUGCAAUCCUAAUGCAAAACCGUCCUAAGUAUGCAAAACACACUAAAACGACUCCUAAUGAGAUGAAAUGUGGAUGAAAUAAUGACAAAGAGGUGAAGAAUGAAUGUCUAAAUCAUGAAAAUUAUAGACAUAUCAACUCCCCCAAACUUUGUCUUUGCUUGCCCUUAAACAAACAAGAAGACAUAAGCGGAAGGAGAGGUUUGAAGUUGGGGACUGAUAACACGGCUUUUUAGCCCAUUU